RNAcentral lists this ribosomal RNA (255 nucleotides) under uncultured bacterium. RNAcentral describes it as "partial 16S ribosomal RNA". It matches the Rfam family "Bacterial small subunit ribosomal RNA", at positions 524 to 776 of the family's 1533-position model. The record is from RNAcentral.
UACGUAGGGUGCAAGCGUUGUCCGGAAUUAUUGGGCGUAAAGAGCUCGUAGGCGGUCUGUCGCGUCGGCUGUGAAAACCCGCGGCUCAACCUCGGGCCUGCAGUCGAUACGGGCAGACUAGAGUGCGGUAGGGGAGACUGGAAUUCCUGGUGUAGCGGUGAAAUGCGCAGAUAUCAGGAGGAACACCGGUGGCGAAGGCGGGUCUCUGGGCCGAAUACUGACGCUGGAGGAGCGAAAGCGUUGGGAGCGAACAGG